CUGCUGCCUCCCGUAGGAGUCUGGUCCGUGUCUCAGUACCAGUGUGGGGGACCUUCCUCUCAGAACCCCUAGACAUCGUCGCCUUGGUGGGCCGUUACCCCGCCAACAAGCUAAUGUCACGCAUGCCCAUCCGUCUCCGGAGUCGCCUCCUUUGGCCGAAAGAAGAUGCCUCCCCUCGGCCACAUGCGGUAUUAGGCCGGAUUUCUCCGGGUUAUCCCGCUGAAACGGGCAGGUUGCAUACGCGUUACUCACCCGUGCGCCGGUCG
RNAcentral lists this ribosomal RNA (266 nucleotides) under uncultured bacterium. RNAcentral describes it as "partial 16S ribosomal RNA". The record is from RNAcentral.